UACGGAGGAUCCGAGCGUUAUCCGGAUUUACUGGGUGUAAAGGGAGCGUAGACGGUACGCCAAGUCUGAAGUGAAAUGCCGCAGCUUAACUGCGGAACUGCUUUGGAAACUGGCGGGCUAGAGUGCGGGAGGGGUAAGCGGAAUUCCUAGUGUAGCGGUGAAAUGCGUAGAUAUCACGCAGAACUCCGAUUGCGAAGGCAGCUUACUAAGCCAUAACUGACACUGAAGCACGAAAGCGUGGGGAUCAAACAGG
RNAcentral lists this ribosomal RNA (253 nucleotides) under uncultured Eubacteriales bacterium. RNAcentral describes it as "uncultured Clostridiales bacterium partial 16S ribosomal RNA". It matches the Rfam family "Bacterial small subunit ribosomal RNA", at positions 524 to 776 of the family's 1533-position model. The record is from RNAcentral. Lineage: Bacteria; Bacillati; Bacillota; Clostridia; Eubacteriales.